UGGGGAAUAUUGGACAAUGGGCGAAAGCCUGAUCCAGCCAUGCCGCGUGUGUGAAGAAGGUCUUCGGAUUGUAAAGCACUUUAAGUUGGGAGGAAGGGCUGUAAGCGAAUACCUUGCAGUUUUGACGUUACCGACAGAAUAAGCACCGGCUAACUUCGUGCCAGCAGCCGCGGUAAUACGAAGGGUGCAAGCGUUAAUCGGAAUUACUGGGCGUAAAGCGCGCGUAGGUGGUUUGGUAAGUUGGAUGUGAAAGCCCCGGGCUCAACCUGGGAACUGCAUCCAAAACUGCCUGACUAGAGUACGGUAGAGGGUGGUGGAAUUUCCUGUGUAGCGGUGAAAUGCGUAGAUAUAGGAAGGAACACCAGUGGCGAAGGCGACCACCUGGACUGAUACUGACACUGAGGUGCGAAAGCGUGGGGAGCAA
Molecule: ribosomal RNA, 424 nt
Filed under: uncultured bacterium
Lineage: Bacteria
Description: bacterial SSU rRNA
Rfam family: Bacterial small subunit ribosomal RNA
Source: RNAcentral